RNAcentral lists this ribosomal RNA (800 nucleotides) under Microbacterium sp. JSM 2215133. Its description in RNAcentral is "bacterial SSU rRNA". It matches the Rfam family "Bacterial small subunit ribosomal RNA", at positions 38 to 846 of the family's 1533-position model. The record is from RNAcentral. Lineage: Bacteria; Bacillati; Actinomycetota; Actinomycetes; Micrococcales; Microbacteriaceae.
GGAAGGGGGGGCGUCUACCAUGCAAGUCGAACGAUGACGCCCAGCUUGCUGGGUGGAUUAGUGGCGAACGGGUGAGUAACACGUGAGCAACCUGCCCCUGACUCUGGGAUAAGCGCUGGAAACGGCGUCUAAUACUGGAUACGAACAAGAAUCGCAUGGUUACUUGUUGGAAAGAUUUUUCGGUUGGGGAUGGGCUCGCGGCCUAUCAGCUUGUUGGUGAGGUAAUGGCUCACCAAGGCGUCGACGGGUAGCCGGCCUGAGAGGGUGACCGGCCACACUGGGACUGAGACACGGCCCAGACUCCUACGGGAGGCAGCAGUGGGGAAUAUUGCACAAUGGGCGCAAGCCUGAUGCAGCAACGCCGCGUGAGGGAUGACGGCCUUCGGGUUGUAAACCUCUUUUAGCAGGGAAGAAGCGAGAGUGACGGUACCUGCAGAAAAAGCACCGGCUAACUACGUGCCAGCAGCCGCGGUAAUACGUAGGGUGCAAGCGUUAUCCGGAAUUAUUGGGCGUAAAGAGCUCGUAGGCGGUUUGUCGCGUCUGCUGUGAAAUCUGGGGGCUCAACCCCCAGCCUGCAGUGGGUACGGGCAGACUAGAGUGCGGUAGGGGAGAUUGGAAUUCCUGGUGUAGCGGUGGAAUGCGCAGAUAUCAGGAGGAACACCGAUGGCGAAGGCAGAUCUCUGGGCCGUAACUGACGCUGAGGAGCGAAAGGGUGGGGAGCAAACAGGCUUAGAUACCCUGGUAGUCCACCCCGUAAACGUUGGGAACUAGUUGUGGGGUCCAUUCCACGGAUUCCGUGA